UUUCCGUAGGUGAACCUGCGGAAGGAUCAUUCAUAAUAAAGUGUUUUAUGGCACUUUUUAAAAAUCCAUAUCCACCUUGUGUGCAAUGUUAGAUCUCGUCAAUCUUGGCGAGGUUUUUAUACAUCAACUCAUUCUUUAACUAAUUUGUCUGAAAAAUACUAUGAAUACUUAAUUCAAAACACAACUUUCAACAACGGAUCUCUUGGCUCUCGCGUCGAUGAAGAACGCAGC
Molecule: unclassified non-coding RNA, 231 nt
Filed under: plant metagenome
Description: partial contains small subunit ribosomal RNA, internal transcribed spacer 1, and 5.8S ribosomal RNA
Rfam family: 5.8S ribosomal RNA (bases 183-231)
Source: RNAcentral